GAUGAACGCUGGCGGCGUGCCUAAUACAUGCAAGUCGAGCGACCACAUGAGAAGCUUGCUCCUCUGACGUUAGCGGCGGACGGGUGAGUAACACGUGGAUAACCUACCUAUAAGUCUGGGAUAACUUCGGGAAACAAGAGAUACUACUGGCUAAUAUAUUGUACCGCAUGGUUCAAUAGUGAUACACGGCUUUGCUGUUACUUUUAGAUGGAUUCGGGUCGCCUUGGUUACUUGGUAAGGUAACGGCCUACCAAGGGAACGAUGCGUAUCCGACCUGAUAGGGUGAACCGGCACACUGGAACUGAGACACGGUCCAGACUCCUACGGGAGGCAGCAAGAGGGAAUCUUCCGCAAUGGGCGAAAGCCUGACGGAGCAACGCCGCGUGAGUGAAGAAGGUCUUCGGAUCGUAAAACUCUUUUAUUAGGGAAGAACAAAUGUGUAAUUAACUAUGCACGUCUUGACGGUACCUAAUCAGAAAGCCACGGCUAACUACGUG
This 497-nucleotide ribosomal RNA is filed under the name uncultured bacterium. RNAcentral's name for it is "partial 16S ribosomal RNA". It matches the Rfam family "Bacterial small subunit ribosomal RNA", at positions 28 to 507 of the family's 1533-position model. The record is from RNAcentral.